This 549-nucleotide ribosomal RNA is filed under the name uncultured bacterium. Its description in RNAcentral is "bacterial SSU rRNA". It matches the Rfam family "Bacterial small subunit ribosomal RNA", at positions 355 to 896 of the family's 1533-position model. The record is from RNAcentral.
UGGGGAAUUUUGGACAAUGGGCGCAAGCCUGAUCCAGCCACGCCGCGUGUCUGAAGAAGGCCUUCGGGUUGUAAAGGACUUUUGUCAGGGAAGAAAAGGCUGUUGCUAAUAUCGACAGCUGAUGACGGUACCUGAAGAAUAAGCACCGGCUAACUACGUGCCAGCAGCCGCGGUAAUACGUAGGGUGCGAGCGUUAAUCGGAAUUACUGGGCGUAAAGCGAGCGCAGACGGUUACUUAAGCAGGAUGUGAAAUCCCCGGGCUCAACCUGGGAACUGCGUUCUGAACUGGGUGACUAGAGUGUGUCAGAGGGAGGUAGAAUUCCACGUGUAGCAGUGAAAUGCGUAGAGAUGUGGAGGAAUACCGAUGGCGAAGGCAGCCUCCUGGGAUAACACUGACGUUCAUGCUCGAAAGCGUGGGUAGCAAACAGGAUCAGAUACCCUGGUAGUCCACGCCCUAAACGAUGUCAAUUAGCUGUUGGGCAACUUGAUUGCUUAGUAGCGUAGCUAACGCGUGAAAUUGACCGCCUGGGGAGUACGGUCGCAAGAUUA